UACGAAGGGGGCUAGCGUUGUUCGGAAUCACUGGGCGUAAAGCGCACGUAGGCGGACCUUUAAGUCAGGGGUGAAAUCCCGGGGCUCAACCUCGGAACUGCCUUUGAUACUGGAGGUCUCGAGACCGGAAGAGGUGAGUGGAAUUCCUAGUGUAGAGGUGAAAUUCGUAGAUAUUAGGAAGAACACCAGUGGCGAAGGCGGCUCACUGGUCCGGUUCUGACGCUGAGGUGCGAAAGCGUGGGGAGCAAACAGG
This 253-nucleotide ribosomal RNA is filed under the name uncultured bacterium. RNAcentral's name for it is "partial 16S ribosomal RNA". It matches the Rfam family "Bacterial small subunit ribosomal RNA", at positions 524 to 776 of the family's 1533-position model. The record is from RNAcentral.